This 305-nucleotide ribosomal RNA is filed under the name uncultured bacterium. Its description in RNAcentral is "bacterial SSU rRNA". It matches the Rfam family "Bacterial small subunit ribosomal RNA", at positions 334 to 656 of the family's 1533-position model. The record is from RNAcentral.
AUAACCUACGGGAGGCAGCAGUGGGGAAUAUUGCACAAUGGGGGAAACCCUGAUGCAGCGACGCCGCGUGAGCGAAGAAGUAUUUCGGUAUGUAAAGCUCUAUCAGCAGGGAAGAAAAUGACGGUACCUGAGUAAGAAGCUCCGGCUAAAUACGUGCCAGCAGCCGCGGUAAUACGUAUGGAGCAAGCGUUAUCCGGAUUUACUGGGUGUAAAGGGAGCGUAGACGGCUGUGCAGGUCUGAAGUGAAAGCCCGUGGCUCAACCGCGGAACUGCUUUGGAAACUGUGUAGCUUGAGUACUGGAGAG